Myotis myotis is the source of this 1085-nucleotide long non-coding RNA. RefSeq lists it as uncharacterized. Lineage: Eukaryota; Metazoa; Chordata; Mammalia; Chiroptera; Vespertilionidae. The record is from RefSeq and is a predicted model, not a curated record. The transcript is spliced from 5 exons.
UGGAGCCGCGCCAGAGGCGGGUGAGACGGUCGCCUGGGACCCGCGCGCGGGGGGCGGCGCUGGAGGCUGAGGGGCGCCCCCUCUCUCCAAGUCCCCUCGUUCAAAUCAGGGUGUCAACUGCCGGCACAGCUUCAAAACCCAAAAAAGGCAAAUCUGAGGAAACACCUGCGUCCUUCGCGUUCGCGGCGCUGAAACCCUGAGGCGCGUUCGCCCAGCGCGCGGCGUGCGCUCUGGAACAUAGACCGCGGGCACCUCAGGUCUCCUCGGGGUCGCGCUCAGCUCCUCGUGCCCCCUCCCCGGGGGGUGCGGACUGACCGGAGCCCCCCGACUGCGUCUCUCCGCCGAAGGUCAAGCUGCCAGUCCCCGAAGGCACCCAGCGUGGCCGCGGAGGGGCGUCCUCGCAGCCGCAGGCCUGCACCCCGGCGCGCGCUGUCCUCAAGGACACACACCCCGCUGCUUCCAGGAGGUGACACUCGCUCCAGUUUCAAAGGACAGCUCCCCAUGGCCCCCCAAUAAAAGCUACAUGGAGGGGACUCGAUCUCUCCCCAGCCUGGAAGGUUACUCAGGGAUGUCAGCUGCCUGCAACCUGGGAAAGGGCCCUCACCAGACACGGAGUCGGCCAGCCCUCGGUCUCGGACUUCCGGAGCCAGAUGAGAAACGUUGAACACAGGAAGAAAACAGCUGAGCUGGGAUCUGAACCGCUGAGCUCAGAAGGCAGCCAUUCCAUCCAGAGUGAGGCAGGAAGAAAGGGGCUAUGCCAGUGACCCCGGUCCUUUUUCUAACCAGAGGUUUCCCAGAAAUUCCCGAGCACCCUUCCACUUUCAUCUCACUGAGCAGGCCAGUGUCACGUGGCCACCCCGAGAGGCUGUACCAUCCCUCUGUGACCUCCUGGAGCCUCUCCAACUCUAGGAAGUCCCUUCUGACAACUCCCCAGUGAGGAAAGGGACCUCGUCUGUCUCGGUCGCUGCUAUGUCCUAAGUGCGUAACAAGUAAGGGCUGAAUAAAUAUUUGUUGACUUGAAUGAAUGAGGUGUUCUUGUCUGGGUCUGACCUCACAGCCUGAUUGCUUAAAACUUUCACUUGCCG